UGCAGAAGCUCUCUGGUUCAGUUUAAUUAAGUAAAAACAAAAAAUAUAUACAAUGAAAGGUGCAUUUGAAGGAACUGAAAAAGUGCUAUUUAUUUUACAAGAUGUUUAAGAAGAAGCAAUGAAAAUAUGAAAUUUCAUACAAGGCAACUCAUGGCAGUCCGAGAGGAAGAAUGAAAUGCAGGGGAUGAAAUUCACCCUCCUAUGAAGAAACCCCUACCCACGCUAAAGUGUUCUGAUGCCUGGAAAAAAUCUGCAUCAGUUCCAUUGGGACUUCAUCUCCUCCUGACUGAUCGUGCUGGGGGCUCUGCCUGUCUCCAGCACUCCAGACCUUCAGCUGCCACCAUCUCCUGGGAACCCCAACUGGUUCAACCUUCACGAGUUUUUUAACACAGGAUACAGCAUGACUGGCUGACAAUCUUUAAAAAACUGCUGAGAAGAUUCAGAAGUUGCCUGAACUGUAAAGAAAAUCUUGGAACUAACAACAAAGAAGAAUUGCAAAGAAAGACUAACUUCAGAGUCUGCUAUCUGGCCCCUGUUGUGCAGGUUGUUCUAUAGAUGCCAUCGUUCUGAGGCUGUUUGAAUGGAAGAAUGUCUGAAUGGUUUGUUAGCACAACAAAACAUCAUUGCAGUUUUUAAUUAUCAUUGUAAUUUUCAAGAAGUAAGAGGUGGUUGCUUUAUGGGCUUCACAUGCAGCUCAGAAGAGGCUCUAAAAGCAGCUGCAUUUGUCCAUAGUAUACCUCUAGUUUUUUGAGAUGUAUCUCAGAUUCUGUAUGUACUUCUCAAAAAGCCUGUGAUAAAGGAUUCAUGCACCACAGCUGGGGUAAUAAAGACACAAAUUUAGCAUAAAGUAGAUUCAGGCUGUCUCUCAACACAUGCAUGCUAGGUGAAACCAAUGACUGUGGAAUCUUUUAGAUUUCCAUUGAACAAUGUUGAAAGAGGCCACUGCGUGCUUCUUAGCCCUGGUCUACACUACAAGUUUAGGUCAGAUAUAGCAGCAUUAGAUCCGUUUAGCCCUGCACCCAUCCACACUACGAAGCCAUUUUUUCCGAUUUUAAGGGCUCUUACCGGUUUCCAUACUCCUCCCCGAUGAGU
This is a long non-coding RNA of Dermochelys coriacea (leatherback sea turtle), 1092 nucleotides long. RefSeq lists it as uncharacterized. NCBI's taxonomy places the organism in Eukaryota, Metazoa, Chordata, Testudines, Dermochelyidae. The transcript has 3 exons. The record is from RefSeq and is a predicted model, not a curated record.